This 497-nucleotide ribosomal RNA is filed under the name uncultured bacterium. Its description in RNAcentral is "partial 16S ribosomal RNA". It matches the Rfam family "Bacterial small subunit ribosomal RNA", at positions 28 to 507 of the family's 1533-position model. The record is from RNAcentral.
GAUGAACGCUGGCGGCGUGCCUAAUACAUGCAAGUCGAGCGAACGGACGAGAAGCUUGCUUCUCUGAUGUUAGCGGCGGACGGGUGAGUAACACGUGGAUAACCUACCUAUAAGACUGGGAUAACUUCGGGAAACCGGAGCUAAUACCGGAUGAUAUUUUGAACCGCAUGGUUCAAAAGUGAAAGACGGUCUUGCUGUCACUUAUAGAUGGAUCCGCGCUGCAUUAGCUAGUUGGUAAGGUAACGGCUUACCAAGGCAACGAUGCAUAGCCGACCUGAGAGGGUGAUCGGCCACACUGGAACAGAGACACGGUCCAGACUCCGACGGGAGGCCGCAGUAGGGAAUCUUACGCAAUGGGCGAAAGCCUGACGGAGCAACGCCGCGUGAGUGAUGAAGGUCUUCGGCUCGUAAAACUCUGUUAUUAGGGAAGAACAUAUGUGUAAGUAACUGUGCACAUCUUGACGGUACCUAAUCAGAAAGCCACGGCUAACUACGUG